GUUUAGCCCCCAUUCCCAGGCCUUUGGCUCCAGUUCCCAAGGGUUUAGUUCCAAUUCCCAGAGGUUUAGCCCUAAUUCCCAGGGGUAUAGUCCCAAUUCCCAAGGGUUUAACCCCAAUUCCCAAGGGUUUAACUUCUAUUCCCAAGGGUUUAACUCCUAUUCCCAAGGGUUUAGCCCCAAUUCCCAAGGGUUUAACCCCAAUUCCCAAGGGUUUAGCCCCAAUUCCCAAGGGUUUGGCCCCAAUUCCGAAGGGUUCAACCCCCAUUCCCCAGGAUUCAGCCACAAUUCCCACCUUGAGCAGCCCAGGGG
Neopsephotus bourkii (Bourke's parrot) is the source of this 309-nucleotide long non-coding RNA. RefSeq lists it as uncharacterized. The record is from RefSeq and is a predicted model, not a curated record. The transcript has 3 exons. NCBI's taxonomy places the organism in Eukaryota, Metazoa, Chordata, Aves, Psittaciformes, Psittacidae.